Formica exsecta is the source of this 5568-nucleotide RNA transcript. It is a transcript of the gene named protein NDRG3, with no coding region annotated. Lineage: Eukaryota; Metazoa; Arthropoda; Insecta; Hymenoptera; Formicidae. The transcript is spliced from 10 exons. The record is from RefSeq and is a predicted model, not a curated record.
UGACCAGUCCGUAGUUGGAGCCGUGUACUUGGGCCAAUAGUACGACAUCGUUGAGUACACCGUGCGCUUCUUAACGUCAGUCUCGUCGUGGUGCUCCAUCUUCGCACGUCUUGUAACGUCACGUCGAAAGGUCGGCGCGUAUCGAGCAGACAAUCUGCGCGGGUCGAUUGUCAAAUCGCGUAAGGAUUACGAUCGUUCCGAUUACGCGCGUUCCCUGUAAAACGGGACAAUCUCACUCGCGUCGAGGUACUCGUGGUGAACGCGUUUAAAGGCCGCGCGAAAGCUGCAACUCUUCUUCGGCACUCGGAUCCCGCAGCGGAACUCGCGUAGAAAGAGCAGCAGCAGCAACGCCACAGCUCCAAGCGCCUUCGAGGCGAUUCUUCGCCGAGAGGGCAACUACCUAGACGAAAAUCAUCGUCCUCGACCAGCACGACGAUCAACUAGGUCGUGUCGGGUGAGGAACGACAUCGCGAACGAGACAGGACGACGAGAGGUCACGCCAUGCCGGCAGGUAUUGGCGCUUCGUACAGGUCGUUAGGCGACCUGGGCGAAGAUGUUUACAAAAGCACAACCAUCGUCGAUCAGACACAGACUACUGGCCAGAGCAUGCUCGAGUCUGUCAAGAAGGCUUUUAGCUUCGCCUCUCCAAAGGUUGAGAUCCGGAAGAAGGACCCGUUGAUCGAGGACCGUCGCGAAAGCAUCUCGAUUGUCUCAAGGGAGAGAAACAAGAUGCCGACAGCAGCCACUGCCGAGGAAUCUGCUCUAUUGGGCACGAUGCCUUCCGAUAGCAUGGAUGAUAUUGAGCUGAAGAACAUUCAAUUGCAAUUUCCGGCAUUGAGAUAUCUCUCUAGAGAUGACGGCUCUGUGCGGGAAGAAAGGGUGGAGACCGACAAAGGAAGUUUGCUGAUAGCGGUGCAAGGAAAUCGAGCAAAACCAGCUAUCCUCACUUAUCACGAUCUAGGCCUUAACUACAUUUCGAGCUUCCAGGCAUUCUUCAAUUACAUCGAUAUGCGUGUUUUACUCGAAAACUUUUGCGUAUAUCACGUGAACGCACCCGGACAAGAGGAAGGCGCGCCGACGCUACCCGAAGAUUACACUUAUCCGUCCAUGGAAGAGCUUGCCGAACAGCUGCUCUUCAUUCUCGGCCAUUUUGGCAUAAAAUCCGUAAUUGGUUUCGGGGUCGGUGCCGGCGCCAAUAUUCUGGCAAGAUUUGCACUCGCCCAUCCGGAGAAAGUAAAUGCACUGUGCCUGAUAAACUGCGUAUCCACACAGGCAGGAUGGAUCGAAUGGGGUUAUCAAAAAUUGAACGUGCGCCACUUGAGAUCGCAGGGCAUGACGCAAGGUGUUCUCGAUUAUCUGAUGUGGCAUCAUUUCGGCAGGGGGACCGAAGAGCGGAAUCAUGAUUUGGUUCAAGUGUAUAAGAACUACUUUGAGCGUCGCGUGAACCCAACGAAUCUCGCAUUAUUUAUCGACAGUUACGUUCGUCGCACGGAUCUGAAUAUAACGAGAGAGUUAGAUCCAACGCGCAAGAAGGAGGGAUUGACGCUUAGUGUACCGGUGAUGAAUAUCACGGGUGCUCUAAGCCCUCACGUCGACGACACCGUAACGUUAAAUGGGCGUUUGGAUCCAACAAAUAGCUCCUGGAUGAAGAUAUCAGAUUGCGGUAUGGUACUGGAAGAACAGCCGGGUAAAGUCAGCGAGGCAUUCCGACUGUUUCUUCAGGGCGAAGGAUAUGUGGUGAGAUCCCCGCGGAAGCCCGUGAAGCCGACAACACCCGAAGGUAAUUGUAAUUAGGAAUUGAAGGCCGCAAGGAGAGUCGAGCGCGCAGUUGGUCAAUUAGGCCACGUCUAUAUGUUAAUGGCCCCGCUGUCGCCGUUAAAAAUGGCCGAUUACCGACUGGCUUCGUUAGAAGGAUUGAAUCACAUUUGCAGCAAGAAGAUCGACUGGCCUACCGCGACCAUACACAUCACGGAGAAUCCGAUAUCGGAGGCAGUCGUCUGUUAAAUGUUAAUCGCUGAAUUUCAUCAUUAUCAUGAUUUUCGUUACGUAAAUAAUCAGAGGAUAAUGCAACUCGAUUGAUAUCGACAACUUAGAAAGGUUUCGUCGGGCAACGAUCCUUCGCGGUACUAAUCGUUGAUUUCUUUUUUCGGAGCUUACGUCGGCACGACAUUUAUUUUAAUCGCGAUUUGCGCUAGAUCGAUCAUACGCAUUCGUAAUAAAUGUUUAAUUCUAAAUAAUUAUAAGUUAAAAGCUUUAACAAAGGGAUUUACUAUAUUUAAGAGACAUUCAGAUGUUUUAUCAAUAUUAUAUUUGUGCGAUGUUGCUAAGAGUAUCGAUUUAUUAAGGAUAAAUAAGAAAAUAAUGUUAUUUCGAGGUUGUACGAUUAGACAUACGUUGAAUUUUAUUAUUUUUUUUUUUUUAAUUUAAUGAACGCUGCAGAGCAACUUCUUACAGCAUCGUUCACUUUUUGUCAUGUAAAAUUAUGUUUUGUAAUUGUUUUAACGGAUUCAUAAUUAAUUGUUUAUUUCAAUGUUUUUUUAAAGAGAAAUUAAACGGAUCAACUACAUCAAAAGUUAACAAUCCUAAUACAUUUCGAGAAUCAUGAAUCUGACAUUGCGUAUAACAUACUUUAAGCAUUUUUAAAUAUAAAAUUAAUAAUUAAUUUGUAAGUUUAAGUAAAAAUUUGUCCUGUAAAAUUAAAAUUUUUAUUUUCAUAAAUUUUUGUGUCAAAUUCAUGAAUCUCGAGAUGUAUUAGAUUUAUUAAUUUUUGACGUAACUGAUCCGUCCAGUUUCUUCCUCAAAUGACGAGAAGAUAUUUUUAAAAGUUUUAAAGAACAUUUUUUCCUUCUUCUCUAUAAAUAUUUUAAUAUUUUAAUACUAUUGCCCAAAUUUUAAAAAUUGUUCAACAUUUCGAAAUAUAUUUCUAUAUACAUGAGUAUACGUUAACACAAACAGAAUCGCGAUUACAACUUUCCAAAAACGUAAAUUGAAUACAUAACUAAAUACAGCGACAAAAAGUUUAUUAGAAGCAUUAAAAAAUGAGAUCUUUUUCUUGAUCUAAGAUGCGAAAAAAAACUCGCAUAUAAGCAUUAUAAUUUUGAAGAAAACGAUUUACUACGUAAAUUCUGAAUAAAUAUCGAAAAAGUAUUAAAAAACGUCACAAAAUAUCGAACAUGUGUGACAGCAAGACAUUAUAGAGAAAUGUGCACUUUCGCUUUUCAUGUUUAUGACAAGAGAAAAUCAUAUUAAGUGUAACAAACUGGCAGCAACUUUUUUUAACAAGUUGCGGAUAGCUUCUUAAUGAAAUAACGUCGAAUAAAUUCCGUCUAUACCUGCUGCGCAGUAUGUAAUGUUACAGAAUAUCCGCAUAUUGCGGAUUAAAUUAAUAGAAAUACAAAUCUACUCUGCAUAUAUUAAAAGCCAAUUCGCGAAACAUAGUCUUGUUUGCUUAUAAUAUGUAAAAGUAAAGAUAAAACUACUUUUUGUUAUAUUUUGAGAAAAACAUUUAAGUAGCUUAUACGCUUUUUCUACUCAAUAUGAUUCGUAAUCAUAAAGAAUCAACCAAUCUUGAAAUUUAUAAUUACAAUAUUAUUUCGUUAUUUUAUACACAAAUAAAUUUAAUCACGAUUAUUUAAAAUUUUGAAAUAUAACAAGGAUCUCUCUCUCUCAAAUGGAUAAUAAAUAUACAGAAUCAAUAUAAUCGAUUAUGGGAUUGGUAUUACAAGACAGGUCAGAUAUUCUCGAUAAAAUUGCUUAUAUGUUCUCCCUUUUCUGAAUUUAAUAUAUACAAUAUACAGAAAUCGAUGGAGUUUAAAUUAAAAAGUCGACUUUCAGCAAUCUUUCAAUAAAAUAUGGCAGCUUUGUCAUAUGAGAUUCAAUUUCUCUACUGCGGAUAUUAUCUUUAAAAAAAAUAUACAUAUACAUGUAUAUCAGAUAAAUUUACACAAUCCCUGUCUUCUUAAACUGGAUGAGAUAUUGUUCUUUUAUUUGCGUUUACGCACCGUUUGCAUUUUUUUUUUUAUAAUAAAAAAAGAGACUGCCUAUAUGAGGAAGAGAGAACGCAUAUGUAUGAAUGCAUAUAUUUAAAAGUGGCGUAAAAAGAGAGGGAAAUACGUAAUUAAUUGUAAUAAGAAGUAAGAAAGCGUCAAGCUCGGUAUCUUUAUCGAGCUUACUUAAGCCUGUAGCGUGAUAUAUUAAGACGUGCCUGCUAUAAGAUGCCGUACGCAAUUUUCGAAAAUUUGAUCGUAUUUAAUUUUCUAUAUAUAUGAUUCUAACGCAUCUCCCAAAAUUCUCUACUUUUCGCGCGUCUUUUCUCAAAGCAUCGCGUUCACGAUGCGAAAAUCGGCAUCAUCAGAUCUUUUUUUAACUCAACUCUUUAAUGAUUAAUUUAAUUAAGAAUAAUCAACAAACUCUAUCAAGUAUAUUUUUAAUCGAGAAAGGAAAAUAAAUAAUCAGAAAUUUGAUGAUAAAAUAAUGUUAAAUUAAAUCUGUUUUUAUAUACAACAUUACGUCAAACAGAUUCUCUAUGAAACAGCGAGUUACAAAUCCUUUUUCUUAUUUUGCGGCAAGUAAUAUAUAAUACGAUAAAAAAAAAUGCGCGAGAACGACGAAGGAAGUCAAAUCAGCGAACAUCUCGAGGGGCAGAAGAUCUAAUCGUUUCAUAUAAAAGAGAAUUUAUAAAAAUAUAUAAUAGGAAUUAUAUAUAUCUACACACACAUACACACACGUCGCGUUAUUUAGAUUGCAAAUUGAGGCAAUGAUAGUCGAGAGCAUAGGAUUAGAAUUGCGGAGCUCGAUAUAAGAUAAUUGAGGGAACGCACGCAUUAAACGUUGCUAAUGCGGUUGCUAUAUGGAUAUAUAAUGUAGCUUUAAAGAACACUCCGCCGUUAAUCCCUUCAUUUCCACAUAGAGAAAUUUCCCUACGGACACGUGGCACGAAUUAUCUCGAUGCUCAAGACAACGAAUUUGUUGAAUCUCUGUACAUCGACUGUAUUGUUGAAUUUAAUUAGACAUAUCGGCCGAGUCCGCAAUAAGCAAUAUCAUCAAAUUGUUCGUCAACUGAUCGACCCUAAUUUACGAUUUUAAUCCUCGUAUUUGUCGAAAUUACUCGUGAGACACGCGCAUAUCAAUACGGUAAAUUUUUAAACAAUUUUUUAACGACGAAAAGAUCUAUUCGGAUUUGUAUCUGCAUUUUAAUUGGCGCAUCAACGACAAAAAAAAAUAUCCAGCAUGAUCGAGAGAGCAGAUAGAUUUUCAACAUCCAUUUCUACCUCGCGCGAAGGUAACACGGUUUUCCUUCGCCGCAUAACGCGCAAAGUUCAUUCUCGAAUGAAAUUUCUAAUUUUCCACGCGGUAUCGCGCAACAGAUUGUAGCGAGGUGUAUUAAUCUCACUCAGCAUAAAUAAGACAUAAUACAGUAAGCGAAAUAAAAUUAGUUCUGGAGCUUGAUUAACAUAUAAAUAUAUAUAAAUAUAUUAUACAAAAGUUAAAUGAGACACGUGCGCACCGAAUAUGCAUCUUGUUAUUUAUAAUAAACGAAAAGAAAAAAUAAUAAAAUUGUUUAACAAC